Molecule: long non-coding RNA, 164 nt
Organism: Etheostoma spectabile (orangethroat darter)
Lineage: Eukaryota; Metazoa; Chordata; Actinopteri; Perciformes; Percidae
Exons: 3
Source: RefSeq, a predicted model, not a curated record
UUCCUGCUUUGGUCCCCCUACAGAUUGGAAGUGGAAUUGUCCAUUACAUUACAUUAUGCAAGUUUGCCAGAUCGGGUAGCGGAUCUGUAGUUCGAAUGAACUGGACAAUGUAAAGUACUGGGACAAUUCCGUUUCCAACCUGUAGGGCUGUAUAUCUGUGUGUG